Molecule: ribosomal RNA, 253 nt
Filed under: uncultured bacterium
Lineage: Bacteria
Description: partial 16S ribosomal RNA
Rfam family: Bacterial small subunit ribosomal RNA
Source: RNAcentral
UACGUAGGGACCAAGCGUUGUUCGGAUUUACUGGGCGUAAAGGGCGCGUAGGCGGCGCGGUAAGUCACUUGUGAAAUCUCUGAGCUUAACUCAGAACGGCCAAGUGAUACUGCAGUGCUAGAAUGUGGAAGGGGCAAUCGGAAUUCUUGGUGUAGCGGUGAAAUGCGUAGAUAUCAAGAGGAACACCUGAGGUGAAGACGGGUUGCUGGGCCAACACUGACGCUGAGGCGCGAAAGCCAGGGGAGCAAACGGG